RNAcentral lists this transfer RNA (87 nucleotides) under Minisyncoccota bacterium. RNAcentral's name for it is "tRNA-Leu". It matches the Rfam family "tRNA". Rfam says of the family: Transfer RNA (tRNA) molecules are approximately 80 nucleotides in length. Their secondary structure includes four short double-helical elements and three loops (D, anti-codon, and T loops). Lineage: Bacteria; Bacillati; Minisyncoccota. The record is from RNAcentral.
GCCGAGGUGGCGAAAUUGGUAGACGCACAAGACUUAAAAUUUUGGGGACGCAAGUCCGUGUGGGUUCGAGUCCCACCCUCGGCACCA